UCAUUUACAAGGUUGACCUCGGAUCAGGUAGGAAUACCCGCUGAACUUAAGCAUAUCA
RNAcentral lists this ribosomal RNA (58 nucleotides) under [Coniosporium] sp. SL10199. RNAcentral describes it as "Coniosporium sp. SL10199 partial 28S ribosomal RNA". The record is from RNAcentral. Lineage: Eukaryota; Fungi; Ascomycota; Eurotiomycetes; Chaetothyriales; Herpotrichiellaceae.